GACGAACGCUGGCGGCGUGCUUAACACAUGCAAGUCGAACGGAAAGGCCCUGCUUUUGUGGGGUGCUCGAGUGGCGAACGGGUGAGUAACACGUGAGUAACCUGCCCUUGACUUUGGGAUAACUUCAGGAAACUGGGGCUAAUACCGGAUAGGAGCUCCUGCUGCAUGGUGGGGGUUGGAAAGUUUCGGCGGUGGGGGAUGGACUCGCGGCUUAUCAGCUUGUUGGUGGGGUAGUGGCUACCAAGGCUUUGACGGGUAGCCGGCCUGAGAGGGUGACCGGCCACAUUGGGACUGAGAUACGGCCCAGACUCCUACGGGAGGCAGCAGUGGGGAAUAUUGCACAAUGGGCGGAAGCCUGAUGCAGCAACGCCGCGUGCGGGAUGACGGCCUUCGGGUUGUAAACCGCUUUCGCCUGUGACGAAGCGUGAGUGACGGUAAUGGGUAAAGAAGCACCGGCUAACUACGUG
RNAcentral lists this ribosomal RNA (467 nucleotides) under uncultured bacterium. RNAcentral describes it as "partial 16S ribosomal RNA". It matches the Rfam family "Bacterial small subunit ribosomal RNA", at positions 28 to 507 of the family's 1533-position model. The record is from RNAcentral.